RNAcentral lists this ribosomal RNA (391 nucleotides) under uncultured bacterium. RNAcentral describes it as "partial 16S ribosomal RNA". It matches the Rfam family "Bacterial small subunit ribosomal RNA", at positions 523 to 917 of the family's 1533-position model. The record is from RNAcentral.
AUACGGAGGAUGCGAGCGUUAUCCGGAUUUAUUGGGUUUAAAGGGAGCGUAGGCGGGAGCUUAAGUCAGCGGUUAAAUGGUGCGGCUCAACCGUGCCCUGCCGUUGAAACUGGGUUUCUUGAGAGUGCAAGAGGCGGAUGGAAUUCAUGGUGUAGCGGUGAAAUGCUUAGAUAUCAUGAAGAACUCCGAUUGCGAAGGCAGUCCGCUGGGGCACGUCUGACGCUGAUGCUCGAAGGUGCGGGAAUCAAACAGGAUUAGAUACCCUGGUAGUCCGCACGGUAAACGAUGAUUACCCGCUGUCGGCGGUAGACAGUCGGCGGCCAAGCGAAAGCGAUAAGUAAUCCACCUGGGGAGUACGCCGGCAACGGUGAAACUCAAAUGAAUUGACGGG